Molecule: ribosomal RNA, 278 nt
Filed under: Lutimaribacter pacificus
Lineage: Bacteria; Pseudomonadati; Pseudomonadota; Alphaproteobacteria; Rhodobacterales; Roseobacteraceae
Description: partial 16S ribosomal RNA
Rfam family: Bacterial small subunit ribosomal RNA
Source: RNAcentral
GUAAAGCUCUUUCGCCUGUGAUGAUAAUGACAGUAGCAGGUAAAGAAACCCCGGCUAACUCCGUGCCAGCAGCCGCGGUAAUACGGAGGGGGUUAGCGUUGUUCGGAAUUACUGGGCGUAAAGCGCGCGUAGGCGGACUAUUAAGUCAGGGGUGAAAUCCCGGGGCUCAACCCCGGAACUGCCCUUGAUACUGGUAGUCUUGAGUUCGAGAGAGGUGAGUGGAAUUCCGAGUGUAGAGGUGAAAUUCGUAGAUAUUCGGAGGAACACCAGUGGCGAAG